UAGGAAUCUUCCACAAUGGACGAAAGUCUGAUGGAGUAACGCCGCGUGAGUGAAGAAGGUUUUCGGAUCGUAAAGCUCUGUUGUUGGUGAAGAAGGAUAGAGGUAGUAACUGGCCUUUAUUUGACGGUAAUCAACCAGAAAGUCACGGCUAACUACGUGCC
This 161-nucleotide ribosomal RNA is filed under the name uncultured bacterium. RNAcentral's name for it is "partial 16S ribosomal RNA". It matches the Rfam family "Bacterial small subunit ribosomal RNA", at positions 356 to 509 of the family's 1533-position model. The record is from RNAcentral.